AGUGAACGCUGGCGGCAGGCCUAAUACAUGCAAGUCGAACGGCAGCACAGCAGAGCUUGCUCUGUGGGUGGCGAGUGGCGGACGGGUGAGGAAUACAUGGGAAUCUGCCCAGUCGUGGGGGAUAACGUAGGGAAACUUACGCUAAUACCGCAUGCGCCCUUCGGGGAAAGCCGGGGACCUUCGGGCCUGGCGCGAUUGGAUGAGCCCAUGUCGGAUUAGCUAGUUGGCGGGGUAAUGGCCCACCAAGGCGACGAUCCGUAGCUGGUCUGAGAGGAUGAUCAGCCACACUGGAACUGAGACACGGUCCAGACUCCUACGGGAGGCAGCAGUAGGGAAUAUUGGACAAUGGGCGCAAGCCUGAUCCAGCCAUGCCGCGUGAGUGAAGAAGGCCCCUCGGGUUGUAAAGCUCUUUUGCCGGAAAGAAAAGCGCCGGGGUUAAAUACCCCGUUAAGUGUCCUGACGGUACCGG
RNAcentral lists this ribosomal RNA (469 nucleotides) under uncultured bacterium. RNAcentral describes it as "bacterial SSU rRNA". It matches the Rfam family "Bacterial small subunit ribosomal RNA", at positions 29 to 481 of the family's 1533-position model. The record is from RNAcentral.